This 489-nucleotide ribosomal RNA is filed under the name uncultured bacterium. RNAcentral's name for it is "partial 16S ribosomal RNA". It matches the Rfam family "Bacterial small subunit ribosomal RNA", at positions 30 to 506 of the family's 1533-position model. The record is from RNAcentral.
AUUGAACGCUGGCGGCAGGCCUAACACAUGCAAGUCGAACGGUAACAGGGAUCAGCUUGCUGAUUCGCUGACGAGUGGCGGACGGGUGAGUAAUGUCUGGGAAACUGCCUGAUGGAGGGGGAUAACUACUGGAAACGGUAGCUAAUACCGCAUAACGUCGCAAGACCAAAGAGGGGGACCUUCGGGCCUCUUGCCAUCGGAUGUGCCCAGAUGGGAUUAGCUAGUAGGUGGGGUAACGGCUCACCUAGGCGACGAUCCCUAGCUGGUCUGAGAGGAUGACCCGCCCCACUGAAACUGGACCACGGUCCAGCCUCCUACGGGAGGCAGCGGUGGGGAAUAUUGCACAAUGGGCGAAAGCCUGAUGCAGCCAUGCCGCGUGUAUGAAGAAGGCCUUCGGGUUGUAAAGUACUUUCAGGGGGGAGGAAGGGAGUAAAGUUAAUCCCUUUGCCCAUUGACUUUACCCGCAGAAAAAGCACCGGCUAACCCCGU